AACGAGACCUUAACCUGCUAAAUAGCCAGGCUAGCUUUGGCUGGUCGCCGGCUUCUUAGAGGGACUAUCGGCUCAAGCCGAUGGAAGUUUGAGGCAAUAACAGGUUAACCUUUAUCAUAGGCCUGUAAAAGCG
This 133-nucleotide ribosomal RNA is filed under the name Clarireedia homoeocarpa. Its description in RNAcentral is "partial small subunit ribosomal RNA". The stretch from base 1 to 105 matches the Rfam family "Eukaryotic small subunit ribosomal RNA", at positions 1334 to 1461 of the family's 1831-position model. The record is from RNAcentral. Lineage: Eukaryota; Fungi; Ascomycota; Leotiomycetes; Helotiales; Rutstroemiaceae.